Molecule: ribosomal RNA, 253 nt
Filed under: uncultured bacterium
Lineage: Bacteria
Description: partial 16S ribosomal RNA
Rfam family: Bacterial small subunit ribosomal RNA
Source: RNAcentral
GACGGAAGGUGCAAGCGUUGCUCGGAAUCACUGGGCGUAAAGGGUGCGUAGGCGGCUUGGUAAGUCGGGUGUGAAAGCCCCGGGCUCAGCCUGGGAAGGGCACUCGAAACUGCCGAGCUGGAGUGCCGGAGGGGAGAGUGGAAUUCCUGGUGUAGCGGUGAAAUGCGCAGAUAUCAGGAGGAACACCAAUUGCGAAGGCAGCUCGCUGGGACGUUACUGACGCUGAGACGCGAAAGCGUGGGGAGCAAACAGG